Long non-coding RNA from Eucalyptus grandis, 1109 nucleotides. RefSeq lists it as uncharacterized. The transcript is spliced from 7 exons. NCBI's taxonomy places the organism in Eukaryota, Viridiplantae, Streptophyta, Magnoliopsida, Myrtales, Myrtaceae. The record is from RefSeq and is a predicted model, not a curated record.
AGGCAUAUACAACCAUAAAUCUGUUGCGAGUUGAUAGAUUUUAUUUUGACUCUUUUUUUUAGUGAUGCUCUGCUUUCUUUUCAGGAAAUUUCUAUUUUAAGUCAGCUUCAACAUGAGAACAUAGUUCAAUGUUAUGGCACUAAGGAGGAUGAUAAGAAGCUUUACAUAUUCCUUGAGCUCAUGACUGAAGGUUCACUUGAAACACUUUAAUGCCAAUAUAACUUGAGUGAUCUCCAAGUCUCUGCAUACACUAAGCAGAUUCUAAAUGGUCUAAAGUAUCUUCAUGGCCAGCAUGUGGUACACAGGGAUAUUAAAUGUGCUAACAUAUUGGUUGAUGCAAGAAGUUGUGUGAAACUUGCAGACUUUGGAUUGGCAAAGGUAAUCAAAAAGAAUGAUGCUAAAUCCUCCAAAGGAAGUCUUCGUUGGAUGGCACCUGAGGUCGUCAAUCCAAAAACAAAAGCUAUGGAUCGGCACCUGAUAUUUGGAGCCUAGGGUGCACUGUUUUAGAGAUGUUAACCCGCCGGUAUCCAUAUUCCCACUUAGAAGAAGCACCAGCAGUGUACAAAAUUGGCCAGGGUGAACUUCCUCUAGUUCCCGAUUUUUUAUCAAGCGAUGCACGAGGCUUCAUCUUAUGUUGCUUGCAAGUAGACCCAAAUAAGCGGCCUUCUGCAGCGGAGUUGCUUGGCCAUCCCUUUGUGAGGAAUGCUUCUUCUGGUUUUGCCUUAGCUCAUUUCAACAAUGUACAGUCAUAAGGUUUUGCUAGGCCAUCCCUUUUGGUCCAUGGCUGAAGAUGGGAAUGCCUUUGGCAGCAAUGGCCAUCUAAUAAUUCGGAGAAGAUUGUGGUACCUUGCAAAUGGUCUUGGGCUGCAACUGAUUUUAUGGCGUCUUUGUUCUGCUUGCGUUAACAUCUUGUUUAUCUGGGAAUUGUCAUGUCAUGUUGUAUAUUUCCCGUUGGAAAGAAGGGAAGGAAACAAAGAUGUUGGCGAUGACAAGUUUUCUGCUUUUACGAAGCGUAGAUAGGUGCACAGAACUUAUACAGGAUUUGUAAUCAAUUAAGAUUGGAUGCGCUUGAGAUUCGCAAUGGAAGGCGCAUUUUGUUUCCUUUUUAU